AACGAACGCUGGCGGCAUGCCUAAUACAUGCAAGUCGAACGAUCACUUCGGUGGUAGUGGCGCACGGGUGCGUAACGCGUGGGAAUCUGCCCUUGGGUUCGGAAUAACUUCGGGAAACUGAAGCUAAUACCGGAUGAUGACGUUAAGUCCAAAGAUUUAUCGCCCAGGGAUGAGCCCGCGUAGGAUUAGCUAGUUGGUGGGGUAAAGGCCUACCAAGGCGACGAUCCUUAGCUGGUCUGAGAGGAUGAUCAGCCACACUGGGACUGAGACACGGCCCAGACUCCUACGGGAGGCAGCAGUAGGGAAUAUUGGACAAUGGGCGCAAGCCUGAUCCAGCAAUGCCGCGUGAGUGAUGAAGGCCUUAGGGUUGUAAAGCUCUUUUACCCGGGAUGAUAAUGACAGUACCGGGAGAAUAAGCUCCGGCUAACUCCGUGCCAGCCGCCGCGGUAA
RNAcentral lists this ribosomal RNA (450 nucleotides) under uncultured bacterium. Its description in RNAcentral is "partial 16S ribosomal RNA". It matches the Rfam family "Bacterial small subunit ribosomal RNA", at positions 29 to 523 of the family's 1533-position model. The record is from RNAcentral.